UUAAGUGUUUUGCCUGGAGGGGGCCCUAAUUUAUUCCCUGUGAAUUGUGACAACAUGUCCCACUGAAAGUCCUCUGGUUUGAUGGAUGAUGCUCUGAGGAGACACUGAAGAGCUGUGAAGAGCUGGGAGGUGGCAGGUACAGGGGGGAGCAGCUCCUGGCUUCCCUGGAGCAUCCCCCUGAAGCUGACAUUUAUGAUGACUGCUGAAUCAUGCACAGAAACUCUCAUAGAAGAGAGAGCAAAGACUUCCUCAGACAGUGCUCAGCAGUGAUGGAUGCUUGAAUGGACUUUCCUGGCUGCUACUGCAGAGAAGGCUCAGGACAUGUUUCCACAAGGAUGCUUCCCAAUGGUUCUACAAAUCCUGCUGUGCACCCCACCCAAAGCCCCACUGAGGAGGGUCACUGCUGAUGAGGGGGGGCACAGCUCCAGCUCCUUUGCUCCUGAGCACUUUCUGCUGCUGGCUUUGCCUCUCUACCUGCUGUUUAUAGAUGGAUUACAGAGCCCUUGCUGAUGGAGGCUUCCUGCUCACACUUGUCACUAGAGGAAAACUGAGUUUGGGAUUUUGUCAAGCCCUGUGAGAAUGACCUGCUAACUCCAAAAUAACUGUGACACCGUGAGCGACACUCUGGGGGAAUGCAACUCCUGUCCUUGCCCUCCUCUGCAGAUAAAUACAGCACGCCCUUUACUGCUGAGUGCUUUGGGAAGAAUGUCAGCCAGACAAGAGAGGGGAGAUAAAAGAAAGAAAGGUGAGGAUGUUUUUCAUCUGCUCUUUUUCUGAACCAUCCCGCUUGACUUUGCCUACAAGACUUUGGGCAGUGGGGUUAAGAGGAGCAGGCCAGGGGUACCUGGUGCCUCUGGGGUGGCAUAAUGGUCACAGGAGAGCAAAGGGGCUGUGACAUGAGGCUGCCUCGUGGGGAACUGGUAUUUUGGGUACCCCUUCUGGCACGGAGUCUGGAGGGAAGGCACAACAGGGUCUCACCAACCACAGCAAGGGAGUGGGAGAACAAACAAUCCAUAAGAAAGAAGUGCUGGUGAGUUACCCCAGCUCCUGGCUCUGCAGAUUGCUUUUGGCAGCAGGGCUCUCCAAGGGGGCAGGCUCUGGAUUUCAGAGGGUGGGUGCCUGUACACAGCUCUGCUGGGAUCUGGCCUGGGCUGGGAGUGCUGUACAGCUGAGCUGGUCCAUAGGCAAGAGCCGGGCUGCGCUGCCUGCCUCAGCCUGGGCAAGAGUGGCAACCAAACACAAGCCCACCAGAAUGCAUCCUAACAUCUACUACUUUUGCUGGCAAGGCAAGAACUAAUGGUGGUGCUUCUUAUGUGUGUGUGCCUUGGGCACAGCUGGGAGUGUUGCUGAAAUGAUCUGCUUUCGGUCUAGGCUGUGAUAGGAGCUGGGCUGUCUGGUUCUGCAAUGUGGGAAUUGCCUUUUCCCAGCUGCCAGUCUCAAAGUCAAGCUUUCACAGCACAAAUAAAAUGGGAUAUUGCACACACACAACUCCUUUCAACUAUCACUGAUAUUUAGCAGAGGGAAUAUUCAGAACAUUAUUCCCUCCAACACAGAAUGGCUGCUGGGUGUUACCAGACCAUGUCAAAUGACAUCUGAGUGGAAUUUUAUCAGCAACAAACAAGAAAAAAAUGAAGAAUGGAGGCUUAAAAAAAUUCCUUUUUUUUUCUAUCUAUACUGUGAUUUGUUAUGUAUAUCUAUACACAUAUAUACACAUACACAUGGAUUUUUAAAUUACUGUUGGGAUCUGAAGAAACAAAGGAAAAGAGCAGACAAUGUAAUGUUACUUGUUACAGAACAGAAUGUUAUGGUGUAAAACACCAGUUAGGGACAUCUGGGGGAGCAUGAGGAUGGUACUUUACACAUAUUGCUGUGGUCAGUGCAAAUUCUGCACUACUUUCAUUAACAGGGGAUCAAAGGUUUGAUGGGAUCUAGAAAUACAAGGAGGCUAAAACGUGGCAGGUGUAGGUAACCUCAUGUACACAGACCUUUGCCUCAGAAAGCGGAAUGUUCCUGCAAAUCUGACAUAAUCCAAUUCCUUGAUUUCCUCAGUGACAUUUCUGCAGGCUCACGUACAGAAGGACAGGGAAAUUGAGAUUUAUGACAGCUAUUCCUAGCAAAGGUCAUUUCUUGAAUGGUGAACAACAUGUCCUUAGUCACACUGAUGACGAGGCGUUGAAGGAUAAGGGAGAGGCUGGAGAGCUUUAAUGCUUGACAGGGAAUAACAGAAAUAGAGCAUAGAUCAUCUCUCUACUUGGGCCAGGAAGCUUGAAUUCUUCCACCACCAGUCAAAGCCAGGGAGCAGGAGGCAAAAUCCAGAAAAAAAAAUACACAGGGAUUUCUGUGGAGAUUGUGAGGGAGUCUGAGUGUCCAGAUAGCAAGGGGAAAAGAGAAGCCACAGAGCAUGAGUUUUUGGAUAGUAAAGGUAUCCUCAGUGAAAUCAGCUGCUUAUAAAGAACAGGGUCAGGUUGCUCUGGGGCCUCCCUGCUUAUUAAAUAAUAAGACUGUACCCCUCUAUUCAUCAUGACUAUUUUUCCUGUUUGCCCAAGAGAUUUGACACUGUACAUAAAAUGAAGCACCAUUUUUUUUGUAAUCAGGACCCUUUUGGGAGUUAAACAAGAGUUGUUCACUCAGCUACUGACCUUAAAAGAGAGCAUUGGGUACCUUGGUUUAACCAGUUUUGCUUGUUUUCAAGCUCAUAAUAUUGGAUUAAGUAAAAAUGAGGCCAUUUCCCCAAAGCUUGGCUCAGAUUCUGAGCUGAGCUGAGGUUUGAGCUGGGUAAUUGUCACAAACCAGGCUUGUGGCCAGCAGGACCAGUCAAGAGAUGUUUGCAAUAUGAAGUCAACAUGGGGGCUCCUUGCUGACCCAUCUGAGUGCUCUGACCCAAGGAGGAGCUUGGGGGCUCUUCAUCCAUGCCCCUGCUAAUCCCUCUUUGCCAUUUAUUGGUUCCUCUGGGCUGUGAGCUGGCAGCAGAAGUCACAAGAGCUUUUGAGUUGGUCUGAUGAUAGAUUCAGUCCAGUAACCUGAGAAUGCUGUGGUGGCCUCUAGCUUCCAAUCUGUAGCUAAAGAUCUUGCCCUUCCUCCCACAGUAAUUCCUCACAUCCUCUGAAAUCUCCUAAAGCUUUCCCCAAAAUUGCAAGAACUGAGGAUGGCUGCUCUUAAAAACUGUAAAACAGAUAAUUUGUAGGAUAAUUGCCCGUGUUGUAUUUUUCCACAUACAAUAAAGGCAAAAGCAGCCUUACGCCAUGUACCCCCCAGGCCUGGUGUAACUUGAAUCCAAAAGCUAUGAAGGAAAUGGAAAAUGUUAAUAAAUAAUGAUGUUUGAAACACAAGUCACUGAACAAACCACCAGACCAUCUGUGUUUAUUCCACUGGACAGAAAAUGUCUAUUUUACAAUUAUUACUUACUAUAUAUUUACUUACUAUUAUUACUUAAUAUAUAUUUAUUAAAUUAUUUAUUUUACUUUACUUUCCCUAGUUUGAGACAGUAAGAUCUUGGUCAUAGGUAUGUCUUAGGAAUUAGCCUGGGUGCUGCAGGUUAUUCAGGAGAUAAAUCAGAGAAGCUCACGG
Molecule: long non-coding RNA, 3567 nt
Organism: Parus major (Great Tit)
Lineage: Eukaryota; Metazoa; Chordata; Aves; Passeriformes; Paridae
Exons: 6
Source: RefSeq, a predicted model, not a curated record